CUGCACGAUGCCUCCCGGGCUUCUCAGAAUUAACAGUGACGCGAAAGCCCCAAUGCAUGUGCUAAAUCGUCGCCGUUCGUGUUGCAGUUUAGCCCCUUUUUUUUUCACGGCUGAUCUGUGUCAAAACAACGGCUAAAUUC
This is a small nucleolar RNA of Abrus precatorius (Indian licorice), 140 nucleotides long. RefSeq annotates it as small nucleolar RNA snoR134. Lineage: Eukaryota; Viridiplantae; Streptophyta; Magnoliopsida; Fabales; Fabaceae. The transcript has a single exon. The record is from RefSeq and is a predicted model, not a curated record.